GACGAACGCUGGCGGCGUGCUUAACACAUGCAAGUGGUGCGACGAACCGAGGGCUUGCCCGUGGGGCAAAGCCGCGAACGGGUGAGUAACACGUGGGUAAUCUGCCCCGAUGACCGGGACAACCCGAGGAAACUCGGGCUAAUACCGGAUGAUGAGCCUUGGCGUAAGCCUUGUCUCUAAAGGAAGCUUCGGCCUCCGCAUUGGGGAGGAGCCCGCGGCCCAUUAGCUUGUUGGUGGGGUAAUGGCCACCAAGGCAACGAUGGGUAGCUGGUCUGAGAGGACGACCAGCCACACUGGGACUGAGACACGGCCCAGACUCCUACGGGAGGCA
RNAcentral lists this ribosomal RNA (331 nucleotides) under uncultured bacterium. RNAcentral's name for it is "bacterial SSU rRNA". It matches the Rfam family "Bacterial small subunit ribosomal RNA", at positions 28 to 350 of the family's 1533-position model. The record is from RNAcentral.